RNAcentral lists this microRNA precursor (186 nucleotides) under Amborella trichopoda. RNAcentral's name for it is "miR156a stem-loop (atr-MIR156a)". Its record names the gene atr-MIR156a. The record is from miRBase by way of RNAcentral. Lineage: Eukaryota; Viridiplantae; Streptophyta; Magnoliopsida; Amborellales; Amborellaceae.
AGGGUUUAUAUGUGAGGGAGUAAGUAAUAGAGAGAGGGGGUCUGGUGUUGUUGACAGAAGAUAGAGAGCACAUAAAGUAACGUGCAGUGGGCGUUUGCAUUUUAUUUUGUAUGUGCUCUCUAGCCUUCUGUCAUCACCUGCUCACCAUUCCCACCCAUCUUACUUCUCCAACAUAUUUCUAAUCCU